Non-coding RNA from Acanthosepion pharaonis, 111 nucleotides. The record is from the annotation of a GenBank genome assembly. Lineage: Eukaryota; Metazoa; Mollusca; Cephalopoda; Sepiida; Sepiidae.
UUACGGCCAUAUCACGUUCAAACACCGCUUCCCGUACGAUGACUCAAGUUAAGCAAUAUCGAGCCUGGUCAGUGCCUAGAUGGGUGACCGUUUGGAAAUACCAGGUGCGGG